This 877-nucleotide ribosomal RNA is filed under the name Escherichia coli. RNAcentral's name for it is "partial 23S ribosomal RNA". It matches the Rfam family "Bacterial large subunit ribosomal RNA", at positions 344 to 1224 of the family's 2925-position model. Lineage: Bacteria; Pseudomonadati; Pseudomonadota; Gammaproteobacteria; Enterobacterales; Enterobacteriaceae. The record is from RNAcentral.
GGAAAGGCGCGCGAUACAGGGUGACAGCCCCGUACACAAAAAUGCACAUGCUGUGAGCUCGAUGAGUAGGGCGGGACACGUGGUAUCCUGUCUGAAUAUGGGGGGACCAUCCUCCAAGGCUAAAUACUCCUGACUGACCGAUAGUGAACCAGUACCGUGAGGGAAAGGCGAAAAGAACCCCGGCGAGGGGAGUGAAAAAGAACCUGAAACCGUGUACGUACAAGCAGUGGGAGCACGCUUAGGCGUGUGACUGCGUACCUUUUGUAUAAUGGGUCAGCGACUUAUAUUCUGUAGCAAGGUUAACCGAAUAGGGGAGCCGAAGGGAAACCGAGUCUUAACUGGGCGUUAAGUUGCAGGGUAUAGACCCGAAACCCGGUGAUCUAGCCAUGGGCAGGUUGAAGGUUGGGUAACACUAACUGGAGGACCGAACCGACUAAUGUUGAAAAAUUAGCGGAUGACUUGUGGCUGGGGGUGAAAGGCCAAUCAAACCGGGAGAUAGCUGGUUCUCCCCGAAAGCUAUUUAGGUAGCGCCUCGUGAAUUCAUCUCCGGGGGUAGAGCACUGUUUCGGCAAGGGGGUCAUCCCGACUUACCAACCCGAUGCAAACUGCGAAUACCGGAGAAUGUUAUCACGGGAGACACACGGCGGGUGCUAACGUCCGUCGUGAAGAGGGAAACAACCCAGACCGCCAGCUAAGGUCCCAAAGUCAUGGUUAAGUGGGAAACGAUGUGGGAAGGCCCAGACAGCCAGGAUGUUGGCUUAGAAGCAGCCAUCAUUUAAAGAAAGCGUAAUAGCUCACUGGUCGAGUCGGCCUGCGCGGAAGAUGUAACGGGGCUAAACCAUGCACCGAAGCUGCGGCAGCGACGCUGAUGCGUUGU